GUCGUCUUGGAACAGCGGCAAUCCCAAAUGACCCGUGACAGGRAUUGCCGGUUGGCCAAUGCCUCCUUUGCUUGGUGCAGCACUAGAGCUGUUAUACCGGUGAUAGCCAGUGAGUCCAGAAGCAUGCUGCUGAGGAGGACAAGGGAAGGCCUGUCCAGCCUCUGGUCGUUCUAAUCUCUGCUGCCGCCUGGGCAUGUUAUCCUGAAUUUGGGGAAAAUAUGGGGC
Molecule: long non-coding RNA, 225 nt
Filed under: Apteryx rowi (Okarito brown kiwi)
Lineage: Eukaryota; Metazoa; Chordata; Aves; Apterygiformes; Apterygidae
Description: lncRNA (ENSARWG00000015283.1)
Source: RNAcentral